AAUACAUAAGUUACUAAGGGCUUAUGGUGGAUGCCUUGGCACUAGAAGGCGAUGAAGGACGUGCAAACCUGCGAAAUGCUACGGGGAGCUGGUUGGAAGCGAUAAUCCGUAGAUGUCCGAAUGGGGGAACCUGAUUAAUAGUGAUAUUAAUUAUUUAGAUCUGAAUACAUAGGGUCUAAAAGCAAUACGUUGUGAAGUGAAACAUCUCAGUAGCAACAGGAAAAGAAAUCGAAAGAGAUUCCGUGUGUAGUGGCGAGCGAAAGCGGAACAGGCCAAACCAAGAUUUAUCUUGGGGUUAUAGGACUGCAAUGUGGACUUUGAACUGAUAGGAGAAGUAGUUGAAAAGCUACGCGAUAAAGGGUUAUAGCCCCGUAUCUUAAAUUGGUUUAAUACCUAGCAGGAUCCUGAGUACAUCGAGAAACGUUAUCUUGAUGGAAGUCGCCCAGACCAUUGGGCAAGCCUAAAUACUAACUAGUGACCGAUAGCGUAUAGUACCGUGAGGGAAAGGUGAAAAGAACCCAGGGAUGGGAGUGAA
Molecule: ribosomal RNA, 535 nt
Filed under: Mycoplasmoides gallisepticum
Lineage: Bacteria; Bacillati; Mycoplasmatota; Mycoplasmoidales; Mycoplasmoidaceae
Description: bacterial LSU rRNA
Rfam family: Bacterial large subunit ribosomal RNA
Source: RNAcentral